CUGAAAUAGUUUAUAAGAAUAUAAUAUUAGGGGUAUUGAGGUUUUGUUCAGU
Molecule: transfer RNA, 52 nt
Filed under: Gongylonema pulchrum
Lineage: Eukaryota; Metazoa; Nematoda; Chromadorea; Rhabditida; Gongylonematidae
Description: tRNA-Pro
Source: RNAcentral